Molecule: ribosomal RNA, 831 nt
Filed under: uncultured bacterium
Lineage: Bacteria
Description: bacterial SSU rRNA
Rfam family: Bacterial small subunit ribosomal RNA
Source: RNAcentral
AGUCGACGAUGAAUCUUCUAGCUUGCUAGAAGUGGAUUAGUGGCGCACGGCUGUAGUAAUGCAUAGGUUAUGUGCCCUUUAGUCUGGGAUAGCCACUGGAAACGGUGAUUAAUACUGGAUACUCCCUACGGGGGAAAGUUUUUCGCUAAAGGAUCAGCCUAUGUCCUAUCAGCUUGUUGGUGAGGUAAUGGCUCACCAAGGCUAUGACGGGUAUCCGGCCUGAGAGGGUGAUCGGACACACUGGAACUGAGACACGGUCCAGACUCCUACGGGAGGCAGCAGUAGGGAAUAUUGCUCAAUGGGGGAAACCCUGAAGCAGCAACGCCGCGUGGAGGAUGAAGGUUUUAGGAUUGUAAACUCCUUUUGUUAGAGAAGAUUAUGACGGUAUCUAACGAAUAAGCACCGGCUAACUCCGUGCCAGCAGCCGCGGUAAUACGGAGGGUGCAAGCGUUACUCGGAAUCACUGGGCGUAAAGAGUGCGUAGGCGGGGUAAUAAGUCAGAUGUGAAAUCCUGUAGCUUAACUACAGAACUGCAUUUGAAACUGUUACUCUGGAGUGUGGGAGAGGUAGGUGGAAUUCUUGGUGUAGGGGUAAAAUCCGUAGAGAUCAAGAGGAAUACUCAUUGCGAAGGCGACCUGCUGGAACAUUACUGACGCUGAUGCACGAAAGCGUGGGGAGCAAACAGGAUUAGAUACCCUGGUAGUCCACGCCCUAAACGAUGGAUGCUAGUUGUUGCCUUGCUUGUCAGGGCAGUAAUGCAGCUAACGCAUUAAGCAUCCCGCCUGGGGAGUACGGUCGCAAGAUUAAAACUCAAAGGAAUAGACGGGGACC